GACGAACGCUGGCGGCGUGCUUAACACAUGCAAGUCGAACGGAAAGGCCCUGCUUUUGUGGGGUGCUCGAGUGGCGAACGGGUGAGUAACACGUGAGUAACCUGCCCUUGACUUUGGGAUAACUUCAGGAAACUGGGGCUAAUACCGGAUAUGAGCUCCUGCUGCAUGGUGGGGGUUGGAAAGUUUCGGCGGUUGGGGAUGGACUCGCGGCUUAUCAGCUUGUUGGUGGGGUAGUGGCUUACCAAGGCUUUGACGGGUAGCCAGCCUGAGAGGGUGACCGGGCACAUUGGGACUGAGAUACGGCCCAGACUCCUACGGGACGCAGCAGUGGGGAAUAUUGCACAAUGGGCGGAAGUCUGAUGCAGCAACGCCGCGUGCGGGAUGACGGCCUUCGAGUUGUAAACCGAUUUCGCCUGUGACGAAGCGUGAGUGACGGUACUGGGUAAAGAAGCACCGGCUAACUACGUG
This 468-nucleotide ribosomal RNA is filed under the name uncultured bacterium. RNAcentral describes it as "partial 16S ribosomal RNA". It matches the Rfam family "Bacterial small subunit ribosomal RNA", at positions 28 to 507 of the family's 1533-position model. The record is from RNAcentral.